This 430-nucleotide ribosomal RNA is filed under the name Pseudomonadota bacterium. RNAcentral describes it as "Proteobacteria bacterium partial 16S ribosomal RNA". It matches the Rfam family "Bacterial small subunit ribosomal RNA", at positions 355 to 776 of the family's 1533-position model. Lineage: Bacteria; Pseudomonadati; Pseudomonadota. The record is from RNAcentral.
UGGGGAAUAUUGGACAAUGGGGGGAACCCUGAUCCAGCCAUGCCGCGUGUGUGAAGAAGGUCUUAUGGUUGUAAAGCACUUUAAGCGAGGAGGAGGGUACUGGUAUUAAUACUACCAGCUACUGGACGUUACUCGCAGAAUAAGCACCGGCUAACUCUGUGCCAGCAGCCGCGGUAAUACAGAGGGUGCGAGCGUUAAUCGGAUUUACUGGGCGUAAAGCGUGCGUAGGCGGCUAAUUGAGUCGGAUGUGAAAUCCCCGAGCUUAACUUGGGAAUUGCAUUCGAUACUGGUUAGCUAGAGUGUGGGAGAGGAUGGUAGAAUUCCAGGUGUAGCGGUGGAAUGCGUAGAGAUCUGGAGGAAUACCGAUGGCGGAGGCAGCCAUCUGGCCUAACACUGACGCUGAGGUACGAAAGAAUGGGGAGCAAACAGG